This 421-nucleotide ribosomal RNA is filed under the name uncultured Gammaproteobacteria bacterium. RNAcentral describes it as "bacterial SSU rRNA". It matches the Rfam family "Bacterial small subunit ribosomal RNA", at positions 608 to 1029 of the family's 1533-position model. The record is from RNAcentral. Lineage: Bacteria; Pseudomonadati; Pseudomonadota; Gammaproteobacteria.
CUUAACCUGGGAACUGCAUUUGAUACUGGCAGGCUAGAGUAUGAUAGAGGGGGGUAGAAUUCCUGGUGUAGCGGUGAAAUGCGUAGAUAUCAGGAGGAAUACCAGUGGCGAAGGCGACCCCCUGGAUCAAUACUGACGCUGAGGUACGAAAGCGUGGGUAGCGAACAGGAUUAGAUACCCUGGUAGUCCACGCCGUAAACGAUGUCAACUAGCCGUUGGGCUCUUGAGAGUUCAGUGGUGCAGCUAACGCGUGAAGUUGACCGCCUGGGGAGUACGGCCGCAAGGCUAAAACUCAAAUGAAUUGACGGGGGCCCGCACAAGCGGUGGAGCAUGUGGUUUAAUUCGAUGCAACGCGAAGAACCUUACCUGCCCUUGACAUCCUCGGAACUUGUCAGAGAUGACUUGGUGCCUUCGGGAACCG